RNAcentral lists this transfer RNA (88 nucleotides) under Fidelibacterota bacterium. Its description in RNAcentral is "tRNA-Leu". It matches the Rfam family "tRNA". Rfam says of the family: Transfer RNA (tRNA) molecules are approximately 80 nucleotides in length. Their secondary structure includes four short double-helical elements and three loops (D, anti-codon, and T loops). Lineage: Bacteria; Pseudomonadati; Fidelibacterota. The record is from RNAcentral.
GCUGAAGUGGUGAAACUGGUAUACACGCUGUCUUGAGGGGGCAGUAUCCAAUUAGGAUGUGCGGGUUCGAAUCCCGCCUUCAGCACAA